GCCGGACCUUGGUGGCACACAUCUU
This 25-nucleotide non-coding RNA is filed under the name Cricetulus griseus (Chinese hamster). Lineage: Eukaryota; Metazoa; Chordata; Mammalia; Rodentia; Cricetidae. The record is from RNAcentral.